Meriones unguiculatus (Mongolian gerbil) is the source of this 1016-nucleotide long non-coding RNA. RefSeq lists it as uncharacterized. The record is from RefSeq and is a predicted model, not a curated record. NCBI's taxonomy places the organism in Eukaryota, Metazoa, Chordata, Mammalia, Rodentia, Muridae. The transcript is spliced from 2 exons.
UGCAUUGUCAAUGUGGAGAUGAGAGGUAAACAUUAGUUAUCUUCUAUCUCGCCCUACCAUUUUUUUCUUUUUAACAGAGAGAGAGAGAGAGGGAGAGAAAGAGAGAAAGAGAGUGUCUCUCACUGAGCCUGACCUUACUCAUUGGCUAGAAUGACCAGCUGGUUUGGGAUUCUGAACUCAGGUCUUUGUGCUUAUACAGGAGGCAUUUUUCUCACGGAGCUAUUUACCUGUCAUAUCUUGUGAUCUUCAGAUUUGCUGGAUGAAGUCUCAGAACUCAAGGAAACAGUUCACUGACUCUUGUGAGGUUUAUGAUGGUCUCCCUUUAUGCACAGCAUUCGCAUUCCAAGCCUCCCUGUUAAUACUUGAAGCUUCAGAUAGUAAAAAUUCCAACUGAACUAAGUUUAUUGCUAUCCAAUGAUGCAUACAAUUAAGUUUGAUUUAUAAAUUAGACAAAAUGAAAAUUAGCCACAACAAUAAUAAACUAGACCAAUUAUAACAGGGCAAUUAUAAGAUUAUUCUGUAAUAUAACAUACAUGAUUGUGGUCUCACUCGCCUCUCAAGAUAUAUUAUUGUAUUAUGCAUACAUUCCUUGGGACAAAGUGACACAAUCCAGUGUCUCUGUGAUUACAUCAACAACUACUGUGAAAGGAAAAAGGAAGUAACAACAAAACAUCACUUGGAGGAAGAUUUUGAAAUGGAAUCAGAAAAAUCUUGGGGGAUUUAUUUAGCAUUUAGUGGCUGCCUAAGAACUUUGAUCAUCUGUGCACCUGGGCCACAGGCACUGAGAGUAUGCCCAGAGGCUCAAGAUAAUCAUCACAAGGUUAUCAGACUCCUGUUUUAUGAACCUUGCCAUUCUUGUCAUUCUCUUCUUUAUCUUCUGUCAGCCAUAUUGUUUUGAUCUUUCUCAACACUUAAUGUCUCACAAAAUCUCUUACCGUCUUCUUGUCUUCUUCCGAACGUUGAUUCAGCGAUAAAUGAACCCAUACCUCCCAAAUUAAAAUGUCUAUACUCUUAAA